RNAcentral lists this ribosomal RNA (427 nucleotides) under uncultured bacterium. RNAcentral describes it as "partial 16S ribosomal RNA". It matches the Rfam family "Bacterial small subunit ribosomal RNA", at positions 354 to 796 of the family's 1533-position model. The record is from RNAcentral.
GUGGGGAAUAUUGGGCAAUGGGGGCAACCCUGACCCAGCGACGCCGCGUGAGGGAAGAAGGCCUUAGGGUCGUAAACCUCUGUUGUGUGGGAAGAAGGAAGUGACGGUACCACACGAGGAAGUCCCGGCUAACUACGUGCCAGCAGCCGCGGUAAUACGUAGGGGACGAGCGUUGUCCGGAUUUACUGGGCGUAAAGGGCGCGUAGGCGGUCAUUUAAGUCAGCUGUGAAAUGGUUUGGCUUAACCGGAUCAUGCGGUUGAAACUGGAUGACUGGAGUGCUGGAGAGGCAAGGUGAAUUCCCAGUGUAGCGGUGAAAUUCGUAGAUUAUGGGAAGAACACCGGUGGGGAAGGCGACUUGCUGGCCAGUAACUGACGCUGAGGCGCGAAAGCCAGGGGAGCAAACGGGAUUAGAUACCCGGGUAGUCC